Molecule: long non-coding RNA, 5526 nt
Organism: Salarias fasciatus (jewelled blenny)
Lineage: Eukaryota; Metazoa; Chordata; Actinopteri; Blenniiformes; Blenniidae
Source: Ensembl
AUGGUUGCUGAUGGCAUUUUAAUUUUGGGUCCUUUGACAGUUACAUCAGGGCCUUCAAUGUCAAUCUCUGGUUUGUUGAUGUCAAUGCUGGGUGCUUUCACGUCAAUGUUUGCUUUGGGAAGGUUUACGUCAACAUCUGGCAUUUCAACUUUGGGACCUUUCAAUCCAAUUGAUGGCAGGUUGAUAGUUGGCAGAUGUAUUCCACCUUUUGGACCUGUCACAUCAACCUUUGGACCCUUGAUGCCAACAUCCAAUCCCUUCAUCUCACCCUCCAUCUUUGGAGCCGUCACAUCCAUAUCACCUUUGAGUUUGGGGCCCUUCACAUUGAAGUCCACAGCUGGCAUUGAGAUCUUUGGCCCUGAGAUGUGUGGCAUGUUGAAUUUUGGGCUUUUGAUUUUGCCACCGGGACUGUUGAUGUCAACUUCUGGACCCUCAACAUCUAACUCAGGUGCCUUGAUGUUGAUGUCAGCUUCUGGGAGUUCAACAUCUGUGCCCGUGACGUUUGGGCCCUUUAUCCCAAAUGAUGGCAUUUUAAUCUUUGGCAUUUUGAAGCCUGCUUUAGAACCAUCAAUGCCAAUAUCUGGACCUUCAAUGUCAACCUCUGGAGCUUUGAUAUCACCUUCAAAUUUUGGAAGUGAGACAUCGACAUCACCCUCGACUUUUGGACCUUUUAGGUUGAAGCCAAACUCGGGCAUCUUUGGUCCUUUGAUAGUGGGCAUUUUAAAUUUGGGUCCUUCGACAUUUACAUCAGGGCCUUCAAUGUCAAUCUCUGGUUUUUUUAUGUCAAUGCUGGGUGCUUUCACGUCAAUGUUUGCUUUGGGAAGAUUUACGUCAACAUCUGGCAUUUCAACUUUGGGACCUUUCAAUCCAAUUGAUGGCAUGUUGAUAGUUGGCAGAUGUAUUCCACCUUUUGGACCUGUCACAUCAACCUUUGGACCCUUGACGCCAACAUCCAGUCCCUUCAUCUCACCCUCCAUCUUUGGAACCGUCACUUCCAUAUCACCUUUGAGUUUGGGGCCCUUUACAUUGAAGUCCACGGCUGGCAUUGAGAUCUUUGGCCCCGAGAUGUGUGGCAUGUUGAAUUUUGGUCCCUUGAUUUUGCCACCAGGACUUUUGAUGUCAACUUCUGGACCCUCAACAUCUAAUUCAGGUGCCUUGAUAUCAAUGUCGCCUUCUGGGAGUUCAACGUCCUUGCCUGUUCUUGUUCCAAAUGAUGGAAUUUUAAACUUAGGUAUUUUGAACCCUCCUUUGGAAGUGUCAGUGUUGAUAUCUGGACCUUCAAUAUCAACGUCUGGAGCUUUGAUAUCACUUUCAACCUUUGGAAGCGAGACAUCUAAAUCACCCUCGACUUUUGGACCUUUUAAGUUGAACCCAAACUCUGGCAUCUUUGGUCCUUUGAUGGUGGGCAUCUUAAUUUUGGGUCCUUUGACAUUUACAUCAGGGCCUUCAAUGUCAAUCUCUGGUUUGUCGAUGUCAAUGUUGGGUGCUUUCAUGUCAAUGUUUGCUUUGGGAAGGUUUACGUCAACAUCUGGCAUUUCAACUUUGGGACCUUUCAAUCCAAUUGAUGGCAUGUUGAUAGUUGGCAGAUGUAUUCCACCUUUUGGACCUGUCACAUCAACCUUUGGACCCUUGAUGUCAACAUCCAGUCCCUUCAUCUCACCCUCCAUCUUUGGAACCGUCACAUCCAUAUCACCUUUAAGUUUGGUGCCCUUCACACCAAAGUCCACGUCUGGCAUUGAGAUCUUUGGCCCCGAGAUGUGUGGCAUGUUGAAUUUUGGUCCCUUGAUUUUACCACCAGGACUUUUAAUGUCAACUUCUGGACCCUCAACAUCUAAUUCAGGUGCCUUGAUGUUGAUGUCAGCUUCUGGGAGUUCAACAUCUGUGCACGUGACAUUUGGGCCCUUUCUCCCAAAUGAUGGCAUUUUAAUCUUUGGCAUUUUGAACCCUCCUGAAGAACCCUCAAUGUUCAUAUCUGGACCCUCAACGUCUAUUUCAGGUGCCUUGAUAUCAAUGUCACCUUCUGGGAGUUCAACAUUCAUGCCUGUUUUCAUCCCAGAUGAUGGAAUUUUAAACUUUGGCAUUUUAAACCCUCCUGAAGAACCCUCAAUGUUCAUAUCUGGACCCUCAAUGUCUAUUUCAGGUGCCUUGAUAUCAAUGUCACCUUCUGGGAGUUCAACAUCCUUGCCUGUUUUCAUCCCAAAUGAUGGAAUUUUAAACUUUGGCAUUUUGAACCCUCCUUUGGAAGUUUCAGUGUUGAUGUCUGGACCUUCAAUAUCAACGUCUGGAGCUUUGAUAUCACCUUCAAUCUUUGGAAGUGAGACAUCUACAUCACCCUCGACUUUUGGACCUUUCAGGUUAAAGCCAAGGUCAGGCAUCUUUGGUCCUUUGAUGGUGGGCAUCUUAAUUUUGAGUCCUUUGACAUUUACAUCAGGGCCUUCAAUGUCAAUCUCUGGUUUGUCGAUGUCAAUGUUGGGUCCUUUCACAUCAAUGUUUGCUUUGGGAAGGUUUACGUCAACAUCUGGCAUUUCAGAUUUGGGACCUUUCAAUCCAAUUGAUGGCAGGUUGAUAUUGGGCAUUUGUAAUCCACCUGUUGAAUCUUUCAAAUCCAACUUUGGGCCCUUGAUGUCAGCAUCAAAUCCCUUCAUCUCACCCUUCAUCUUUGGAGCCGUCACUUCCAUAUCACCUUUGAGUUUGGUGCCCUUCACACCAAAGUCCACGUCUGGCAUUGAGAUCUUUGGCCCCGAGAUGUGUGGCACGUUGAAUUUUGGUCCCUUGAUUUUGCCACCAGGACUUUUAAUGUCAACUUCCGGACCCUCAACAUCUAAUUCAGGUGCCUUGAUGUUGAUGUCAGCUUCUGGGAGUUCAACAUCUGUGUCCGUGACAUUUGGGCCCUUCAUCCCAAAUGAUGGCAUUGUAAUCUUUGGCAUUUUGAACCCUCCUGUAGAACCCUCAAUGUUCAUAUCUGGACCCUCAACAUCUAUUUCAGGUGCCUUGAUAUCAAUGUCACCUUCUGGGAGUUCAACAUCCUUGCCUGUUUUCGUCCCAAAUGAUGGAAUUUUAAACUUUGGCAUUUUGAACCCUCCUGAAGAACCCUCAAUGUUCAUAUCUGGACCCUCAAUGUCUAUUUCAGGUGCCUUGAUAUCAAUGUCACCUUCUGGGAGUUCAAUAUCCUUGCCUGUUUUUGUUCCAAAUGAUGGAAUUUUAAACUUUGGCAUUUUGAACCCUCCUUUGGAAGUGUCAGUGUUGAUAUCUGGACCUUCAAUAUCAACGUCUGGAGCUUUGAUAUCACCUUCAAUCUUUGGAAGUGAGACAUCUACAUCACCCUCGACUUUUGGACCUUUCAGGUUAAAGCCAAGGUCAGGCAUCUUUGGUCCUUUGAUGGUGGGCAUCUUAAUUUUGGGUCCUUUGACAUUUACAUCAGGGCCUUCAAUGUCAAUCUCUGGUUUGUCGAUGUCAAUGUUGGGUGCUUUCACGUCAAUGUUUGCUUUGGGAAGGUUUACGUCAACAUCUGGCAUUUCAACUUUGGGACCUUUCAAUCCAAUUGAUGGCAUGUUGAUAGUUGGCAGAUGUAUUCCACCUUUUGGACCUGUCACAUCAACCUUUGGACCCUUGAUGUCAACAUCCAGUCCCUUCAUCUCACCCUCCAUCUUUGGAACCGUCACAUCCAUAUCACCUUUGAGUUUGGUGCCCUUCACACCAAAGUCCACGUCUGGCAUUGAGAUCUUUGGCCCCGAGAUGUGUGGCAUGUUGAAUUUUGGUCCCUUGAUUUUGCCACCAGGACUUUUAAUGUCAACUUCCGGACCCUCAACAUCUAAUUCAGGUGCCUUGAUGUUAAUGUCAGCUUCUGGGAGUUCAACAUCUGUGCCUGUGACAUUUGGGCCCUUUCUCCCAAAUGAUGGCAUUUUAAUCUUUGGCAUUUUGAACCCUCCUGAAGAACCCUCAAUGUUCAUAUCUGGACCCUCAAUGUCUAUUUCAGGUGCCUUGAUAUCAAUGUCACCUUCUGGGAGUUCAACAUCCUUGCCUGUUUUUGUCCCAAAUGAUGGAAUUUUAAACUUUGGCAUUUCGAACCCUCCUUUGGAAGUUUCAAUGUUGAUAUCUGGACCUUCAGUAACAAUGUCUGGAGCUUUGAUAUCACCUUCAAUCUUUGGAAGUGAGACAUCUACAUCACCCUCGACUUUUGGACCUUUCAUGUUAAAGCUACGGUCAGGCAUCUUUGGUCCUUUGAUGGUGGGCAUCUUAAUUUUGGACCCUUUUAUGUUUACAUCAGGCCUUUCAAUGUCAGUCUCUGGUUUUUUGAUGUCAAUGCUCGGUACUUUCACGUCAAUGUUCGGCUUUUUGAAGCCUGGACCUUCAAUGUCAACAUUUGGAUCUUUGAUAUCAACUUCAUAUUUUGGAAGUGAGACAUCAACAUCACCCUCGACUUUUGGACCUUUCAGGUGGAAGCCAACGUCAGACAUCUUUGGUCCUUUGAUGGUGGGCAUCUUAAUUUUGGGUCCUUUAAUAUUUACAUCAGGGCCAUCAAUGUCAAUCUCUGUUCCCUUAAUGUCCGUGCCAGGUAAUUUCACGUCAAUGUUUUCACUAGGUAUUUUUAUGCUCACAUCUGGAGCCUCUGCUUCUGAACUUUUGACUCCAAAUGAUGGUAUUUUAAUUUUAGGCAUUUCAAAUCCUCCUUUUGAACCUUUGAUCGUCACUUCAGGACCCUUGAUAUCCACGUCAGGUAUUUCUGUAUUGCCUUCCAGCUUCAGAACUGCAUCCUUAUCACCUUUGAGUUUGGAGCCUGUCAAAUUCAAGUCCUUAUCAGGCAAGGAAAUAUUUGGCCCUGAAAAUUUUGGUAUGUUGAAUUUUCCCCCCUUUAAUUUUGCAUCGCGGCCUUCAAUUUCAGGUGUUUUCAUGUCAAUAUCUCCUUUUUGGAGAUUUACAUCAAUGUCUGGACCUCUUACAUCACCCUCAUGUUUUGGACCUUUGAGUUUGAUGUCAGUCUCUGGCAACUUUGGUCCUUCCAUUGUUGGCAUCUUAAUUUUGGGUCCUUUGAGUUUUGCAUCAGGACUUUCAAUGUCAACAUCUGGUACCUUUGUGUCAGCACCACGUGCGUUCACAUCAAUGUUUACUUUUGGCAAGUUUGUGCUUACAUCUGAGCCUUCAACUUUGGAGCCUUUCAUGUUUAAUGAUGACAUUGUAACUUUUGGCAUUUUGAACCCUCCUUUGGAACUUAUGUCAUCAUUUGCUCCUUUAAUAUCCACCCCUGGAGGUUGUAUGUUUCCUUCAAUUUUUGAUGUUUUCAUGCCAAUGCUUGGUUUAGAGAGAUUUAUGUCAACAUUUGGACUUUCAAUAUUGACCUCAGAACCCCGUAUGCUGACCUCUGGGGCUUUAAUAUCACUCACUAUUUUUGAAAUCGAAAGAUCAGUAUCACUUUUCAGUUUUGAGCCUGUGAUAUUUAGGUCUGGCAUGGAUAUUUUUGGUGUUGUGAAUUUUGACCCUGUUAGCUUUACAUCAGGGCCUUCAAAUUCUGCCACUUCACGCGGCUGA